CACAUGCUGUAACCGCACUGGCCGGGUACAAGAACAGUUCCGCAAGGACACUGUCACCUGAGACCGGGCGAGUCUGAGACAUGAG
Non-coding RNA from Paenibacillus sp. MAEPY2, 85 nucleotides. Lineage: Bacteria; Bacillati; Bacillota; Bacilli; Caryophanales; Paenibacillaceae. The record is from Rfam.